Molecule: ribosomal RNA, 1545 nt
Filed under: Staphylococcus aureus DAR3919
Lineage: Bacteria; Bacillati; Bacillota; Bacilli; Caryophanales; Staphylococcaceae
Description: 16S ribosomal RNA
Rfam family: Bacterial small subunit ribosomal RNA
Source: RNAcentral
AGAGUUUGAUCCUGGCUCAGGAUGAACGCUGGCGGCGUGCCUAAUACAUGCAAGUCGAGCGAACGGACGAGAAGCUUGCUUCUCUGAUGUUAGCGGCGGACGGGUGAGUAACACGUGGAUAACCUACCUAUAAGACUGGGAUAACUUCGGGAAACCGGAGCUAAUACCGGAUAAUAUUUUGAACCGCAUGGUUCAAAAGUGAAAGACGGUCUUGCUGUCACUUAUAGAUGGAUCCGCGCUGCAUUAGCUAGUUGGUAAGGUAACGGCUUACCAAGGCAACGAUGCAUAGCCGACCUGAGAGGGUGAUCGGCCACACUGGAACUGAGACACGGUCCAGACUCCUACGGGAGGCAGCAGUAGGGAAUCUUCCGCAAUGGGCGAAAGCCUGACGGAGCAACGCCGCGUGAGUGAUGAAGGUCUUCGGAUCGUAAAACUCUGUUAUUAGGGAAGAACAUAUGUGUAAGUAACUGUGCACAUCUUGACGGUACCUAAUCAGAAAGCCACGGCUAACUACGUGCCAGCAGCCGCGGUAAUACGUAGGUGGCAAGCGUUAUCCGGAAUUAUUGGGCGUAAAGCGCGCGUAGGCGGUUUUUUAAGUCUGAUGUGAAAGCCCACGGCUCAACCGUGGAGGGUCAUUGGAAACUGGAAAACUUGAGUGCAGAAGAGGAAAGUGGAAUUCCAUGUGUAGCGGUGAAAUGCGCAGAGAUAUGGAGGAACACCAGUGGCGAAGGCGACUUUCUGGUCUGUAACUGACGCUGAUGUGCGAAAGCGUGGGGAUCAAACAGGAUUAGAUACCCUGGUAGUCCACGCCGUAAACGAUGAGUGCUAAGUGUUAGGGGGUUUCCGCCCCUUAGUGCUGCAGCUAACGCAUUAAGCACUCCGCCUGGGGAGUACGACCGCAAGGUUGAAACUCAAAGGAAUUGACGGGGACCCGCACAAGCGGUGGAGCAUGUGGUUUAAUUCGAAGCAACGCGAAGAACCUUACCAAAUCUUGACAUCCUUUGACAACUCUAGAGAUAGAGCCUUCCUCUUCGGGGGACAAAGUGACAGGUGGUGCAUGGUUGUCGUCAGCUCGUGUCGUGAGAUGUUGGGUUAAGUCCCGCAACGAGCGCAACCCUUAAGCUUAGUUGCCAUCAUUAAGUUGGGCUGGGCACUCUAAGUUGACUGCCGGUGACAAACCGGAGGAAGGUGGGGAUGACGUCAAAUCAUCAUGCCCCUUAUGAUUUGGGCUACACACGUGCUACAAUGGACAAUACAAAGGGCAGCGAAACCGCGAGGUCAAGCAAAUCCCAUAAAGUUGUUCUCAGUUCGGAUUGUAGUCUGCAACUCGACUACAUGAAGCUGGAAUCGCUAGUAAUCGUAGAUCAGCAUGCUACGGUGAAUACGUUCCCGGGUCUUGUACACACCGCCCGUCACACCACGAGAGUUUGUAACACCCGAAGCCGGUGGAGUAACCUUUUAGGAGCUAGCCGUCGAAGGUGGGACAAAUGAUUGGGGUGAAGUCGUAACAAGGUAGCCGUAUCGGAAGGUGCGGCUGGAUCACCU